UACGGAGGGUGCAAGCGUUAUCCGGAUUCACUGGGUUUAAAGGGUGCGUAGGUGGGUCUGUAAGUUAGAGGUGAAAGCCCGGAGCUCAACUCCGGAACUGCCUUUAAGACUGCAUCGCUAGAAUCCGGGAGAGGUGAGUGGAAUUCCGAGUGUAGAGGUGAAAUUCGUAGAUAUUCGGAAGAACACCAGUGGCGAAGGCGGCUCACUGGACCGGCAUUGACGCUGAGGUACGAAAGCGUGGGGAGCAAACAGG
RNAcentral lists this ribosomal RNA (253 nucleotides) under uncultured bacterium. RNAcentral's name for it is "partial 16S ribosomal RNA". It matches the Rfam family "Bacterial small subunit ribosomal RNA", at positions 524 to 776 of the family's 1533-position model. The record is from RNAcentral.